This 422-nucleotide long non-coding RNA is filed under the name Phasianus colchicus (ring-necked pheasant). RNAcentral's name for it is "lncRNA (ENSPCLG00000021054.1)". Lineage: Eukaryota; Metazoa; Chordata; Aves; Galliformes; Phasianidae. The record is from RNAcentral.
GAAGCCUAGAAUGGAUUCACUGACCUGUGUGGCACAGUGAAGUUUUUACCUAGAAGGAGAAAUGGCCCAGGAACCUGGUGGCUCCUUUGAAGGUGUGGUUUGUGCCACCAAGAGCUAGUAGUCCCUUGGAAAUGUUACUAGGUCCUGGCUGUAGGUGUACAGAGCUGUAAAUCAUCUUCUACAUAUUUCUACAGCUGUGACACCCUUUGGAAAACAUGGAUUCAUUUCAUUUCUGCUGACACCAAUGCCUGCAGACAAGCUGCAAAACCCCUGUGCCCCGCCUGAUACUACUCUAGAGGAAGCUGCAAAUGAGUAAUAUCUCUGAGAAGUGGGCAGCUUGGGGCAGAAUUUGAUUUCCUGAAAUCAUUCUGAGCUGUGGGGGAUGCUGGCACAUUAUGGCAGCUGUUUUUGACAGGGACUAA